AGCAGUCGCCGCGGGAAUACAGAGGGUGCGAGCGUUAAUCGGAUUUACUGGGCGUAAAGCGUGCGUAGGCGGCUUCUUAAGUCGGAUGUGAAAUCCCUGAGCUUAACUUAGGAAUUGCAUUAGAUACUGGGAAGCUAGAGUAUGGGAGAGGAUGGUAGAAUUCCAGGUGUAGCGGUGAAAUGCGUAGAGAUCUGGAGGAAUACCGAUGGCGAAGGCAGCCAUCUGGCCUAAUACUGACGCUGAGGUACGAAAGCAUGGGGAGCAAACAGGAUUAGAUACCCCGGUAGUCCCUGUCUCUUAUAC
Molecule: ribosomal RNA, 303 nt
Filed under: uncultured bacterium
Lineage: Bacteria
Description: partial 16S ribosomal RNA
Rfam family: Bacterial small subunit ribosomal RNA
Source: RNAcentral